RNAcentral lists this ribosomal RNA (368 nucleotides) under uncultured bacterium. RNAcentral's name for it is "partial 16S ribosomal RNA". It matches the Rfam family "Bacterial small subunit ribosomal RNA", at positions 338 to 707 of the family's 1533-position model. The record is from RNAcentral.
CCUACGGGUGGCAGCAGUGAGGAAUAUUGGUCAAUGGACGAGAGUCUGAACCAGCCAAGUAGCGUGAAGGAUGACUGCCCUAUGGGUUGUAAACUUCUUUUAUAUGGGAAUAAAAUGUGCCACGUGUGGGAUUUUGUAUGUACCAUAUGAAUAAGGAUCGGCUAACUCCGUGCCAGCAGCCGCGGUAAUACGGAGGAUCCGAGCGUUAUCCGGAUUUAUUGGGUUUCAAGGGAGCGUAGGUGGAUUGUUAAGUCCGUUGUGAACGUGUGCGGCUCAACCGUCAAAUUGCAGUUGAAACGGGCCGUCUUGCGUCCCGUAGCGGUGCGCGUCAUUCGUGGUGUCGCCCUUGUUCAGAUACCCUGGUAGUC